Molecule: small nucleolar RNA, 216 nt
Organism: Etheostoma spectabile (orangethroat darter)
Lineage: Eukaryota; Metazoa; Chordata; Actinopteri; Perciformes; Percidae
Product: small nucleolar RNA U3
Exons: 1
Source: RefSeq, a predicted model, not a curated record
AAGACUAUACUUUCAGGGAUCAUUUCUAUAGUUUCUGACUUGAGAAAUGUGUUUCUAAAGUGUUUGGUCUCGCUAACCACGAUGAAGAGGUGUCGAUACUCUUCCCUGAGCGCGAAGCGGGCGGAGGACUUUGAUGUAUUUCAUGUGUCCUCCGCUUUUGAUGACCGUUCACUGUCUCUUCGGGGACAAUGAGGGGGAGAGUGUGAUCAGAGUGGC